GAAGGGCGGGGUGCUAUACAUGUAGUCGAGCGAACAGAUAAGGAGCUUGCUCCUUUGACGUUAGCGGCGGACGGGUGAGUAACACGUGGGUAACCUACCUAUAAGACUGGAAUAACUCCGGGAAACCGGGGCUAAUGCCGGAUAACAUAUAGAACCGCAUGGUUCUAUAGUGAAAGAUGGUUUUGCUAUCACUUAUAGAUGGACCCGCGCCGUAUUAGCUAGUUGGUAAGGUAAUGGCUUACCAAGGCGACGAUACGUAGCCGACCUGAGAGGGUGAUCGGCCACACUGGAACUGAGACACGGUCCAGACUCCUACGGGAGGCAGCAGUAGGGAAUCUUCCGCAAUGGGCGAAAGCCUGACGGAGCAACGCCGCGUGAGUGAUGAAGGGUUUCGGCUCGUAAAACUCUGUUAUUAGGGAAGAACAUAUGUGUAAGUAACUGUGCACAUCUUGACGGUACCUAAUCAGAAAGCCACGGCUAACUACGUGCCAGCAGCCGCGGUAAUACGUAGGUGGCAAGCGUUAUCCGGAAUUAUUGGGCGUAAAGCGCGCGUAGGCGGUUUCUUAAGUCUGAUGUGAAAGCCCACGGCUCAACCGUGGAGGGUCAUUGGAAACUGGGAAACUUGAGUGCAGAAGAGGAAAGUGGAAUUCCAUGUGUAGCGGUGAAAUGCGCAGAGAUAUGGAGGAACACCAGUGGCGAAGGCGACUUUCUGGUCUGUAACUGACGCUGAUGUGCGAAAGCGUGGGGAUCAAACAGGAUUAGAUACCCUGGUAGUCCACGCCGUAACGAUGAGUGCUAAG
RNAcentral lists this ribosomal RNA (800 nucleotides) under Staphylococcus sp. JSM 2155020. RNAcentral describes it as "bacterial SSU rRNA". It matches the Rfam family "Bacterial small subunit ribosomal RNA", at positions 31 to 820 of the family's 1533-position model. Lineage: Bacteria; Bacillati; Bacillota; Bacilli; Caryophanales; Staphylococcaceae. The record is from RNAcentral.